RNAcentral lists this unclassified non-coding RNA (723 nucleotides) under Frankliniella schultzei. RNAcentral's name for it is "partial contains 5.8S rRNA, ITS2 and 28S rRNA". The stretch from base 1 to 142 matches the Rfam family "5.8S ribosomal RNA". Lineage: Eukaryota; Metazoa; Arthropoda; Insecta; Thysanoptera; Thripidae. The record is from RNAcentral.
GUGGAUCCCUGGCUUGUGGGUCGAUGAAGAACGCAGCAAACUGCGCGUCAUCAUGUGAACUGCAGGACACAUGAACAUCGACAUUUCGAACGCACAUUGCGGCCCUGGGACUUGUUCCCGGGCCACACCUGACUGAGGGUCGGUAGACCAUAUCUCACGAUACGACCAGACUGUCCUCUCUUCGGAGAGGCGAGAAUGGAGUCUUCCGAGGCAAGAUGGGUCUCCCCCGAUUAGUUUCGGAGUGGGGGCCCCUUGCCUUGGUACUCUUAAAGCACGAGGCGUUGGCGCGGCGGAGUUGAUAGAAAUUGAUUUUUCUUUGUCUUCUCCGUACCGCGUCGGCGUCGCCGUUUGAUCAGCUGUCUCUGUAUCCGGAGCGACUGAGUCCGUGGCUUGUCAAAAGAGCAGUGCGCGACGCAGUCACCUUCUGCGUUGCGCCGCAUCAGAAACACCCUACCGGUGUCCUGGCAACAUCCCAUCAGCUUGUUCCAGGACUUGGGAUAUUCGUAUUGAUGCGUCGAGCCACACGAAAAAGGACUCUUUCCGUCUCUCGCGAYGCAGCGGCUGUGAUGGCACGCAAGAUAAAGGAUGUGAGGAGGAGAGCGAGGGAAGCAAUUGCCCCCGUCUCUCCUCCUCGUUUCUCUAUCUCUCUCGUCACGACCUCAGUUCAGGUGAGACUACCCCCUGAAUUUAAGCAUAUUACUAAGGGGAGGAAAAGAAACUAAC